This 400-nucleotide ribosomal RNA is filed under the name uncultured bacterium. RNAcentral's name for it is "bacterial SSU rRNA". It matches the Rfam family "Bacterial small subunit ribosomal RNA", at positions 355 to 772 of the family's 1533-position model. The record is from RNAcentral.
UGGGGAAUAUUGCACAAUGGGGGAAACCCUGAUGCAGCGACGCCGCGUGGGUGAAGAAGUAUUUCGGUAUGUAAAGCCCUAUCAGCAGGGAAGAGAAUGACGGUACCUGAGUAAGAAGCCCCGGCUAACUACGUGCCAGCAGCCGCGGUAAUACGUAGGGGGCAAGCGUUAUCCGGAUUUACUGGGUGUAAAGGGAGCGUAGACGGCAUGGCAAGUCUGGAGUGAAAUGCCGGGGCUUAACCCCGGAGCUGCUCUGGAAACUGUUAAGCUGGAGUACCGGAGAGGCAGGCGGAAUUCCUAGUGUAGCGGUGAAAUGCGUAGAUAUUAGGAGGAACACCAGUGGCGAAGGCGGCCUGCUGGACGGAGACUGACGUUGAGGCUCGAAGGCGUGGGGAGCAAA